AAGUCGUAACAAGGUCUCCGUAGGUGAACCUGCGGAGGGAUCAUUACCGAGUGAGGGUGGUAAAACACCCGACCUCCCAACCCUUUGUACAUCAACCUCUGUUGCCUCGGGGGCGACCCGGCCGUGCGCGGUAGGGGCCCCCGGUGGUCCAAUCAACCAAACUCUGCAUCUCUGCGUCUGAGUAUUACAGUAAAUCAAUUAAAACUUUCAACAACGGAUCUCUUGGUUCCA
Molecule: unclassified non-coding RNA, 231 nt
Filed under: air metagenome
Description: partial contains small subunit ribosomal RNA, internal transcribed spacer 1, and 5.8S ribosomal RNA
Rfam family: Eukaryotic small subunit ribosomal RNA (bases 1-46)
Source: RNAcentral